Molecule: ribosomal RNA, 488 nt
Filed under: uncultured bacterium
Lineage: Bacteria
Description: bacterial SSU rRNA
Rfam family: Bacterial small subunit ribosomal RNA
Source: RNAcentral
AACGAACGCUGGCGGCAGGCUUCAUACAUGCAAGUCGAACGGUUAAAGCUCCUUCGGGAGUGUAUAAAGUGGCGAACGGGUGAGUAACAGGUGGAUAACCUACCUUCUUGUGGGGGAUAACGGUUGGAAACGACCGCUAAUACCGCAUACGAUUGUCUUUUUUACGAAUUGGACAAGGAAAGGGGCUUUUGCUCCGCUGGAAGAUGGGUCCGCCCCCCAUUAGCUUGUUGGUGUGAUAAAAGCGCACCAAGGCAACGAUGGGUAGCCGGACUGAGAGGUUGGCCGGCCACACUGGAACUGAGACACGGUCCAGACACCUACGGGUGGCAGCAGUAGGGAAUAUUGCGCAAUGAACGAAAGUUUGACGCAGCCAUGCCGCGUGGAUGAUGAAGGCCUUCGGGUCGUAAAGUCCUUUUAUUGGGGAAGAACAAGCACGGGAAGAAAAAGCCCGUGCCCUGACGGUACCCAAUGAAUAAGCAACGCUAACU